UCUUUGACUAUGUUGUGUAGUAUCUACAUGUCGAGCAUGGUUAUAUUUUGCGUUUGUCUUAUAAGACAUGUUAUAUCGUUUGUGUGCGCUUGUUCUACAUUAGUUUUACUGGGUCCUGGACAUGCUUAUUUUGUGGACUGUGUAAGAAACAUUUUUAUUGUUUUUGGUUUUAUUAAGGGAUUAGCUACAGGGGUUCGUGGGGUUAUUUUUUCAUUUGCUUUCUUGGGAUUCCUUUACUGUAAUCCGAGAGUCAUAAAUAUCGAAUAGGAUAGCAAGGAUAGCAUAAAGUGACAUUUAAAAUCCAAAAAGUCGAGGGCGAAAGCCACUGUGACACUAUUGUUAUGCUCUAUCAGUAAUCUGUAUUAUGUAAAACUGGUCUGUAAAUACAGCAUGUUUCCUAGCGGAGUUAUACAGAUCAGCAUAGUUAUAAAUUACAGUUUGUUAAAUCACACACUUACUUUUUUAAAUAAAAUUAUUCACGACAUAUGAGUGGGCAGACAAUGGAGGUCGACAGACCUGGUGAGAAUUGCUUCUAUAGAAAGUUAGCACAGCAGUGUCAAUCUCUUGCUUUUCUUCUGAGUAGUAUUUUAUUUAGUUGUAAUACAAUCAAUAAUUUGCUUCUUGAAAUUAAGUAAUGAAUUUCUUGUUUUACUGUAUAAAUUUCAGAUCCUGCCUUUACCUGCUCCCUCCUAUACUGAUGUGGUGUAUGUGGUACUGCUGAGCUUGUAUGUGGUGGAAGCAGAAUUUGUGAGGAUUACUACUGCUCCACUUGUUCCAAGGCUUUUUGCACAACUUGACCAAUACACUGACCAGCUCAUAAAAGUCUUCAAGAAAAAAGGAGGCGUUGCAGGGAAGAAAAUUAGACAAACUUUGGCCCCAGCCACAAAGAAGGAAACUAUUGAAAAGGGGAGGGAGUGUGUCCUCAGGGCACUACCUUUUUACCUGAAUGAAGACCCAACCAUCCUCUUCAAAGAAUAAUUGCUACAGCUACAGCUGUUCAGAGGGAGCUGGAACAAAUUACCCUUGCUAUCUUCACCAUCGAAAAAGCUGAUGUCAGCACUCCUCCAGCCGAUGUGGGUAUAACCAUCUAGGGUGUUCUGCAUGACCUGGAAAACAUGGCCUCUGCAUGUGCACUCUUAAUGGGUGGGAUAUACUGUAUGCACUGAAUCGCAGUUAACCUCGAGACUGAAAGCUUUCUUUGAAGUACUUCAGAAGCUCUUCCUUCAUCUGUAUGUCAGCAGACUCUUGACCAAGGUACAGAUACUCAAGAAUAAACUGAAUGAAUAAGCCAAUCCUUAAUUUGGAUGAUGAAUGUUCUGUCAGAUGGACAGA
This is a long non-coding RNA of Oreochromis aureus, 1332 nucleotides long. RefSeq lists it as uncharacterized. The record is from RefSeq and is a predicted model, not a curated record. The transcript has 4 exons. NCBI's taxonomy places the organism in Eukaryota, Metazoa, Chordata, Actinopteri, Cichliformes, Cichlidae.